RNAcentral lists this ribosomal RNA (497 nucleotides) under uncultured bacterium. RNAcentral's name for it is "partial 16S ribosomal RNA". It matches the Rfam family "Bacterial small subunit ribosomal RNA", at positions 28 to 507 of the family's 1533-position model. The record is from RNAcentral.
GAUGAACGCUGGCGGCGUGCCUAAUACAUGCAAGUCGAGCGAACAGACGAGGAGCUUGCUCCUCUGACGUUAGCGGCGGACGGGUGAGUAACACGUGGAUAACCUACCUAUAAGACUGAGAUAACUUCGGGAAACCGGAGCUAAUACCGGAUAAUAUAUUGAACCGCAUGGUUCAAUAGUGAAAGACGGUUUUGCUGUCACUUAUAGAUGGAACCGCGCCGCAUUAGCUAGUUGGUAAGGUAACGGCUUACCAAGGCGACGAUGCGUAGCCGACCUGAGAGGGUGAUCGGUCACACUGGAACUGAGACACGGUCCAGACUCCUACGGGAGGCAGCAGUAGGGAAUCUUCCGCAAUGGGCGAAAGCUUGACGGAGCAACGCCGCGUGAGUGAUGAAGGUCUUCGGAUCGUAAAACUCUGUUAUUAGGGAAGAACAAAUGUGUAAGUAACUAUGCACGUCUUGACGGUACCUAAUCAGAAAGCCACGGCUAACUACGUG